This 246-nucleotide ribosomal RNA is filed under the name uncultured bacterium. RNAcentral describes it as "partial 16S ribosomal RNA". It matches the Rfam family "Bacterial small subunit ribosomal RNA", at positions 1247 to 1500 of the family's 1533-position model. The record is from RNAcentral.
UGGCUACCGGGUGGACCGGAUGCCGAUCUCGAAAACCUGUCCCAGUUCGGACUGGAGUCUGCAACCCGACUCCACGAAGUUGGAUUCGCUAGUAAUCGCGCAUCAGCCAUGGCGCGGUGAAUACGUUCCCGGGCCUUGUACACACCGCCCGUCAAGCCAUGGGAGCCGGGGGCGCCUGAAGUCCGGGACCGCGAGGACCGGCCUAGGGCGAAACUGGUGACUGGGGCUAAGUCGUAACAAGGUACC